GUCGUCGUCGUCGCCGCUCACUGAACCGUCUCCAGCGACAGACGGCGCUGCGUCCCCGGCCUUGUCGUUGUUGUCGUCGUCGUCAUCGGGGUUCUCAUCCUCCUCGCGAUCGUCGCCGACGGGGUCGUUGUUAUGGUCGUUGCCGUUGGUAGUGGCCGUGUCGCGGUCCUGCUCGACAACGGCGCUUUCUUCUUUGGCGUCGACACCGUUGUCACUGCGCUCUCGCGCAGUGUCCUCCUCCUCUUCGUCGGCGGGCGCCCCCAUGUCCACAUGCUGGUCGCCGUCCUCGCUGGAUUUGUCCGCGGGAUGGUCCUCUGCGACGGCGCCGUCCGGUCCGGCGUCAAGGUCGGUGGCGCCGUGGAGAUAUUCG
This 370-nucleotide long non-coding RNA is filed under the name Pandoravirus dulcis. Its description in RNAcentral is "putative ncRNA". The record is from RNAcentral.